Molecule: non-coding RNA, 36 nt
Filed under: Alexandrium minutum
Lineage: Eukaryota; Dinophyceae; Gonyaulacales; Pyrocystaceae
Also listed under: 2 other names
Source: RNAcentral
UUUUUUUUUUUUUUUUUUUUUUUUUUUUUUUUUUGU